This 1563-nucleotide ribosomal RNA is filed under the name Cnephaeus bottae (Botta's serotine). RNAcentral's name for it is "16S ribosomal RNA". It matches the Rfam family "Bacterial large subunit ribosomal RNA". Lineage: Eukaryota; Metazoa; Chordata; Mammalia; Chiroptera; Vespertilionidae. The record is from RNAcentral.
AACUAAAUAUAGCUCGAAACCUGACCCUCAUAAAAUUAUCAUAACAAACUUAAACAAAACAUUAGUUAAAACAAAAGUAUAGGCGAUAGAAAUUUUACUCGACGCUAUAGAGAAAGUACCGUAAGGGAAACCUGAAAGAAAAUUAUAAGUAUAAAACAGCAAAGCUCAAAACUUGUACCUUUUGCAUAAUGACUCAACUAGAAAAUAUUGGCAAGGAGAACUGAAGUCAAGUAACCCGAAACCAGACGAGCUACCUAUCUAGCAGCUUAUAGAGCGAACCCGUCUAUGUGGCAAAAUAGUGGGAUGACUACUAGGUAGAGGCGACAAACCUAUCGAGCCUGGUGAUAGCUGGUUAUCCAGAGUAGAAUUUUAGUUCUAAUUUAAAUCUGCAAAAAAAAAAUAAAUAAAUUGAAAUGUAGGCUUAAAGAGUAGUCUAAAAGGGUACAGCCUUUUAGAUCAGGGACACAACCCUUAUUAGAGAGUAAGAUAUCAGUAAGACCACAAUAGUAGGCCUAAAAGCAGCCACCAAAUAAGAAAGCGUUCAAGCCCAACAGCACUUAAAGUUAAUCUCAACAAUAAAAUCAAUACUCCUAAUACAAGACUGGAUUAUUCUAUUUAUAGAUAGAAGCAAUAAUGUUGACAUGAGUAACAAGAAAUAAUUCUCCCCGCACAUGUGUAUAUCAGAGCGAAUAAAUCACUGAUAGUUACCAAAAUAAAUGUAAAUAAUUAAUUUAAUACUUACAGCUAAUUGUUAGUCCAACACAGGAGUGCAACCAAGGAAAGAUCUAAAAAAGUAAAAGGAACUCGGCAAACACAAACCCCGCCUGUUUACCAAAAACAUCACCUCUAGCAUAAAAAGUAUUAGAGGCACUGCCUGCCCGGUGACUUUAGUUUAACGGCCGCGGUAUUCUGACCGUGCAAAGGUAGCAUAAUCACUUGUUCCCUAAAUAGGGACUCGUAUGAACGGCCCCACGAGGGUUUUACUGUCUCUUACUUUAAAUCAGUGAAAUUGACAUCCUCGUGAAGAGGCGAGGAUAAAAAAAUAAGACGAGAAGACCCUAUGGAGCUUUAAUUAAUUAACCUAUGAAUUAUAAAAUUAUUCUACUAGAAAUAAACAAAUUUCAAUUAGGCUGACAAUUUAGGUUGGGGUGACCUCGGAAUAAAAACCAACUCCCGAGAGAGUUUUAUUAAGACUCACCAGUCAAAAUUAUUCCACUAUACAUUGAUCCGCCACUCGGCGAUCAACGGAACAAGUUACCCUAGGGAUAACAGCGCAAUCCUAUUUAAGAGUUCAUAUCGACAAUUAGGGUUUACGACCUCGAUGUUGGAUCAGGACAUCCUAAUGGUGCAGCCGCUAUUGAUGUGUUCGUUUGUUCAACGAUUAAAGUCCUACGUGAUCUGAGUUCAGACCGGAGCAAUCCAGGUCGGUUUCUAUCUAUUUGCAGGUCUCUCCCAGUACGAAAGGACAAGAGAGACAGGGCCUACUUAAAAUUAAGUGCCCUAAUAAAAUAAAUGAAUUAAUCUCAACUUUACUCCACCAACCUGCGCCCGAAAUAAGGGCUU